GAACAAGGUUUCCCGUAGGUGAACCUGCGGAAGGAUCAUUA
Molecule: ribosomal RNA, 41 nt
Filed under: Rhizoplaca chrysoleuca
Lineage: Eukaryota; Fungi; Ascomycota; Lecanoromycetes; Lecanorales; Lecanoraceae
Description: partial 18S ribosomal RNA
Source: RNAcentral